RNAcentral lists this ribosomal RNA (382 nucleotides) under uncultured eukaryote. Its description in RNAcentral is "partial 18S ribosomal RNA". It matches the Rfam family "Eukaryotic small subunit ribosomal RNA", at positions 592 to 976 of the family's 1831-position model. The record is from RNAcentral.
UGUAAGCGUAUACCAAAGUUGUUGCAGUUAAAACGCUCGUAGUCGGAAUUUGGCAGUUCCGGAUGUGUGCACGUCGUGUGCGCACUUCGCGGGGAUUGCUUUUGUGGUCUUGCGUAGGAUGAGGCACUUUUAUUAGUGAACGUCCUCACGCAAGCACUUUUUACUGUGAGAAAAUCAGAGUGCUCAAAGCAGGCAUUUGCCGUGAAUGUAUUAGCAUGGAAUAAUAGAAUAGGACUUGGUUCUAUUUUGUUGGUUUGUUGGGACUGAGUAAUGAUUAAGAGGGACAGUUGGGGGCAUUUGUAUUUCGGUGCUAGAGGUGAAAUUCUUAGAUUACCGAAAGACAAACUGCUGCGAAAGCGUCUGCCAAGGAUGUUUUCAUUGA